AUUGAACGCUGGCGGCAGGCCUAACACAUGCAAGUCGAACGGUAACAGGAAGCAGCUUGCUGCUUCGCUGACGAGUGGCGGACGGGUGAGUAAUGUCUGGGAAACUGCCUGAUGGAGGGGGAUAACUACUGGAAACGGUAGCUAAUACCGCAUAACGUCGCAAGACCAAAGAGGGGGACCUUCGGGCCUCUUGCCAUCGGAUGUGCCCAGAUGGGAUUAGCUAGUAGGUGGGGUAACGGCUCACCUAGGCGACGAGCCCUAGCUGGUCUGAGAGGAUGACGAGCCACACUGGAACUGAGACACGGACCAGACUCCUACGGGAGUCAGCAGUGGGGAAUAUUGCACAAUGGGCGCAAGCCUGAUGCAGCCAUGCCGCGUGUAUGAAGAAGGCCUUCGGGUUGUAAACUUCUUUCAGCGGGGAGGAAGGCGGUGGAGUUAAUAACUUCACCGAUUGACGUUACCCGCAGAAGAAGCACCGGCUAACUCCGUGCCAGCCGCCGCCGUAA
Molecule: ribosomal RNA, 506 nt
Filed under: uncultured bacterium
Lineage: Bacteria
Description: partial 16S ribosomal RNA
Rfam family: Bacterial small subunit ribosomal RNA
Source: RNAcentral